This 2560-nucleotide long non-coding RNA is filed under the name Malus domestica (apple). Its description in RNAcentral is "long non-coding RNA (MDOM_LNC011934)". Lineage: Eukaryota; Viridiplantae; Streptophyta; Magnoliopsida; Rosales; Rosaceae. The record is from RNAcentral.
GCAUGUAAAGGGAAUGGAAGUUUGGUGAAUUUGCCUUCUAAACAAGGAGCACAAUACUGAGGUUGUGAGUUACAAUGAUAAGGAAUUGAAGACUUACUAAGUGUUGUGACCCAUUUGACAAUGCCACAAUGUACAAGACACCUUUUGACCAAUAAAUGCUGCUGGUAAGGUCUUUUUGUUUGAGCACAGGUAGGGGAUAAAUUGGAUGAUUACUCAAUCAUUUAAACAAUAUUCUCUCAAUGACCUUGUCAUGUAUACAGAGAGACAACUCAUCAAUGAUACAUCUACAAUUAUUGUCUUUAUAUAAGUGAUACAUAGACAACAAGUGUUGUGACAAUCGAGAUACAUGCAGUAUAAAAUUAAGUUUAAAAUUGUGAGACAUUUUAGGAAGGUUAGAUUUGCCAAUACGAGCAAUGAUCAAACCUUUACCACUAGCACCAGUGACAAUAUCUAUAUUAGGAUAAGGAGAUGACAUCUGAAGAUUAGAAAUAUCCAAAGUCAUAUGAUGAGUAGCUCAUGAGUCAAGAAGCCAAUACUUAUGCUGAGGUGCAGAUGGACUUGUAUUAGCUUGAGCAGUCAUAUCAACAGAGGAAUUAAAUGGAGGAAGCACACUACUUGAAUUCUGAUAAGACAUGCCAGAUGGUUGACCAUUUGAAUUGAUAAGUUGUCGUGAAGCCUGAGAUUGUUGAUGAUAGGACUAUGAGAAUUGUUGUUGAUAAGACUGUGGUGGCUGAUAACUUUAAUAAGACUAUGAUGGCUGAUAACCUUGAGAUGAAGAAUUAUUUAUGUCAAAACAAUUAGCAGCCGUAUGUCCUACUCUAUGACAUAUUUGACAGCCAUGUUGAAAGCAAUUGAUAGUAGAGUGUCCAUUUUUGUCACAGAGUUGACAUUUAUGCAAUGGUUGAUAACUCUGUGGAGAUAUCAUUUGUUGUUGUCCUGGUGCUGAAUAAGGUUGUGACUAUGGUGAAAAUUGAUUUCCACCAUAUGAGAACUGUUGUGGAUACUGUCCUUGAUUACUAGAAAAGAACUUCUUGCCUUUACCCUUUUGUUUGAAUUAUUUCCUUUGAAAUUAUUGUAUGUAUCAGAACCACUUUGAGAGACAAAAGCCAAUGGUCCAGGAAAAGGAAGUUGUUGAGACGGAGGAAAGGGUAGUUGUUGUUGUGGAAAAGGGUUGUGGAAAUUGUAUAGGUGAGAACUGAGGAACUUGAUGAAAUUGCAUAUAGGGGAAUAGGAUAACUGAGGACUAGAAGUGUGUCCAAAAUAAUCACCUGAGUCAUUUCCAAAAGAAUUUGCCUUUGUACCACAGGUACCACCAGUGUCAUAUGUAAAAGGAGAACUAUGAGCCAUCAUAGCAUACAUUAGAGGAACUUGUUUAGUGACUUCAUUCAAUGAGUCUUCUUUAGCUUUCAAUUGAGAUCUCAGUUCCUUUAAAAACACCAAAGUUUCUCUUCCACGAAUGAUAGACUUGAUAAUGUUAUAUUCAGGAGGUAAACCCCGCAAUGCAACAAUAGCAAUGUCUUCAUCAGAAAUAACAACCCCAACAAUAGCUAAAUGAUCCAUAGCAUCUUUAAUCCUCUGAAGAUAUGCAUCAAUGGAUUCAUGUCAUUUUCUAAUAUUUGAAGAUCAAUCUUCAUCUGAACAAUACUAGUCCUAGUCAUAGUUGCAAACCUUUCUCGAAGACUAGUCCACAUUUCUUUAGAACUUUUGCAGCCAAUAACACAGGACAACACAGUAGUUGACAAAGUAGCAGUAAUGAGUGUCAUUAAUGCCUUAUCAUGUAUCUUCCAAACAGUAUAGGCAUCAAAAUCCAACUCAGGCUUAUCAGGACAUAGAAUGGAACCAUCAAGAAACCCAAAAAUGCCAUUUUCAUCAAGUAGUAACUCCAUUUGGAAAUUCCAAGUCACAUAGUUAGAGUCAUUAAGUUUGACAGUAACAUUAUUACCCAUAGUAGGAAUUAGAGACGAAAUUGGCAAUUGUGUAAGUGCUAAUUGAGAAGAGGUAACCAUUUUCAAAGAGAAAAAUCACAAUCCAUGCAACGCAAAUAUAAAGAAUUCACAAACGGAAUCAAUCCACAGACUACAGCGGAGUAGAACAAUUCACACCACAAAUUAUGCUACAAUCUUUUAAUUAACAACAAUUUCCAAGAGAACAAAUUCCCAAAAGCUAGGGUUUCAGACAAGAUUUUAUCAAGAAAUCAAGAUCACAACAACAAUAUGUGAGAUAUGAGGAUGAACAAUAUCACCUUCCUGAAGCACAAAGAUGAAUGAGCACAGCCGAAAACCAGCUAUGAAAUGAAGAAUCCCAAAAAUUAGGGUUCGCGACGAUCACUGACGAACGACAACACCGACAAACUUCAACCACAGACAACAACGAUGAGCUUCAACACCAACAACGACGACAACAAUCAGUAUAGAGAUACUAGUGAUCGGAAGCAGAGGAUCGUCAACCAAUGGUGUUACCCGUGAUUGGUGAUGAUACCAUGUCAACACUAGCUAUGGAAGAUGAAAACUUAGAAAUCUAGAGAGAUAGCUCGGAGAGAGAGAAAGAAAAUCUGCAACAA